This 459-nucleotide ribosomal RNA is filed under the name uncultured bacterium. RNAcentral describes it as "partial 16S ribosomal RNA". It matches the Rfam family "Bacterial small subunit ribosomal RNA", at positions 338 to 795 of the family's 1533-position model. The record is from RNAcentral.
CCUACGGGUGGCAGCAGUGAGGAAUAUUGGUCAAUGGCCGGAAGGCUGAACCAGCCAAGCCGCGUGAAGGACGACGGUGCUACGGAUUGUAAACCUCUUUUGUCAAGGGACAAAACGAGCCCCGUGUGGAUCAUUGAGGGUACCCGAAGAAAAAGCAUCGGCUAACUCCGUGCCAGCAGCCGCGGUAAUACGGAGGAUGCGAGCGUUAUCCGGAUUUAUUGGGUUUAAAGGGUGCGUAGGCGGGCGGGUAAGUCAGCGGUAAAAUGGCGGGGCUCAACCCCGGCCUGCCGUUGAAACUGAAUGUAUUGAGGGCGCGAGAGGUAUGCGGAAUGCGUGGUGUAGCGGUGAAAUGCAUAGAUAUCACGCAGAACUCCGAUUGCGAAGGCAGCAUACCGGCGGGAAACUGACGCUGAGGCACGAAAGCGUGGGUAUCGAACAGGAUUAGAUACCCGGGUAGUC